Long non-coding RNA from Coregonus clupeaformis (lake whitefish), 1430 nucleotides. RefSeq lists it as uncharacterized. The transcript has 8 exons. NCBI's taxonomy places the organism in Eukaryota, Metazoa, Chordata, Actinopteri, Salmoniformes, Salmonidae. The record is from RefSeq and is a predicted model, not a curated record.
AAUUACUCAGGAGGAAGAUAUGGCUGAGAAACAUCAGGCGUAGGGACAUCAGUCUGCAGAAGUCCUUCGAGGACCUGAAGAAAGGGGGUUAUGCUAUGUGCGAGGAGCACUUUGAAGAGUGUUUUAUUCUGAUUAAGGGUUCCCGGAAGACACUGUCCUCUGAGGCAGUACCUACCAGAAUAAAUUGCAGGAAUACACCCCCUCAAUCUGCAACAGAUGCACAGCGUAGUAGAAAAAGAAAACAAAACAAGAUCCAAUGUUGGAGGCCAUGGAGUCACUACCUCCUGUCAUCGAGAAGAUGGAACUCCUGGUCAGAAAUAUGACCACAACCAAAAGAAAUGAUGAAAUAGCAAUAAAAAACAUAUGGGAUGCUAUCAACGAAAGGGAUGCUAUCAACGGCUUAACCAUCAAGGGCAAUGUUUCGAAUCAGGCAAUGGUUUUCAUGGUUAGGAGUGUCACAUUUAAAUGUAAACAGGCAUUUGGCUAUUUCCUGGCUAAAUCGGCAACGCCAGCCUAAGAGACUGCUGACAUUGUGGCUGAGGCAAUAAAGAGACUACAAAGCAUAGGACUGACUGUCAUCAAGUUGGGAUGUGACCAGUCACCCUUUAAUAUGAAGUCCAUGAAAUUCCUUGGAGCAAGUCUAAAUGCUGAGGAUCACACUGACGGGCCACACUGCAUCACAGUUGAAGACGAUAAAAUCAGUGCGGAACAACUUCAUGCAUCAUGGGAUGAAGAUCGGAGAUUAUGAAAUCCUUUGGGACCAUCUGGUGUCGUUUUACAAGAUGGACAAAAGACACCCAAUCAGGAUGGCACAAAAGCUGACAGACAAACACAUUAAAUCUGCCACCCUUCACGAACAUGCGAGUGAAGCUGGCAACACAGGUGUUUAGCCACACUGUCUCUGCAGAUCUUGCUGGGAUAGAAAUCCAUGAAGGAGGGCUCUCAGACAAGAGAACAGCUUAAAGCUGGAUUUCGUUCUGGAAGCAAUACGAUGGAUUGACACAUGGAAAUGUUGAUCAACACUUCCGAAGGGGAUGCAGAUGGUGAUUGUUUGAAGGAUGAGAUCCUGAGCUAUAUAAGCGGAUGGCUUGCACAUGAGGUGCAGAAGAGACAAUCCUCCAUGACUGCAAGGCAAGCGAGAGGCUGCUGGUCCACAUCGGUUCUGAGCAUAACUAUGCUAAAAGAUCUUCUGAUCCAACAACCUUUAUCAAAAGGAAGCGCUACACUUGUUGUGGAAAUACUUUUCAAAGAUAUCUAUCAGACACCGGAGCUUGUGAAUUCAGUAUAGACUUUAUUACAAAGUAACAAGCCGAGCUGGUCCAUGGAGCAACUUCCCAUUCUGACUCUGAGUUCUCCUUUUAUAUGGUUUCAUUCUUACACAACAUACUGUCAUGAUUUAACUGGAUUUGAACCCAAAUGCAGACAACUAC